This 460-nucleotide ribosomal RNA is filed under the name uncultured bacterium. RNAcentral describes it as "partial 16S ribosomal RNA". It matches the Rfam family "Bacterial small subunit ribosomal RNA", at positions 338 to 795 of the family's 1533-position model. The record is from RNAcentral.
CCUACGGGUGGCAGCAGUGAGGAAUAUUGGUCAAUGGACGAGAGUCUGAACCAGCCAAGUAGCGUGAAGGAUGACUGCUCUAUGGGUUGUAAACUUCUUUUAUAUGGGAAUAAAAUGUUCCACGUGUGGGAUUUUGUAUGUACCAUAUGAAUAAGGAUCGGCUAACCCCGUGCCAGCAGCCGCGGUAAUACGGAGGAUCCGAGCGUUAUCCGGAUUUAUUGGGUUUAAAGGGAGCGUAGGUGGAUUGUUAAGUCAGUUGGGAAAGUUUGCGGCUCAACCGUAAAAUUGAAGUUGAAACUGGCAAUCUAGAGUACAGUAGAGGUGAGCGGAAUUCGUGGUGUAGCGGUGAAAUGCUUAGAUAUCACGAAGAACUCCGGUUGCGAAGGCAGCUCACUGGACUGCAACUGACACUGAGGCUCGAAAGUGUGGGUAUCAAACAGGAUUAGAUACCCCUGUAGUC